Long non-coding RNA from Poecile atricapillus (Black-capped chickadee), 178 nucleotides. RefSeq lists it as uncharacterized. The record is from RefSeq and is a predicted model, not a curated record. Lineage: Eukaryota; Metazoa; Chordata; Aves; Passeriformes; Paridae. The transcript is spliced from 3 exons.
CCCACCCAUGGCUGCUGCUGGGUCCAGACAUUCGUGCAUGCCUCACUUGUUGCAAAGGGGUCUUCAGUCUUCUUUUGGUGCUCUUUUGGCAAAGGCUUCUCUUCUUCCUUGUUGUCCUUUGGAUAACCUUACAGCUGGCACAGGACAGGAACCGAGCGGCCGAGGACCUGCGCCGGGC